Molecule: ribosomal RNA, 888 nt
Filed under: uncultured Ruegeria sp.
Lineage: Bacteria; Pseudomonadati; Pseudomonadota; Alphaproteobacteria; Rhodobacterales; Roseobacteraceae
Description: bacterial SSU rRNA
Rfam family: Bacterial small subunit ribosomal RNA
Source: RNAcentral
CUNNNUGCAGUCGAGCGCUCUCUUCGGAGGGAGCGGCGGACGGGUUAGUAACGCGUGGGAACGUGCCCUUCUCUAAGGAAUAGCCACUGGAAACGGUGAGUAAUACCUUAUACGCCCUUCGGGGGAAAGAUUUAUCGGAGAAGGAUCGGCCCGCGUUAGAUUAGAUAGUUGGUGGGGUAACGGCCUACCAAGUCUACGAUCUAUAGCUGGUUUUAGAGGAUGAUCAGCAACACUGGGACUGAGACACGGCCCAGACUCCUACGGGAGGCAGCAGUGGGGAAUCUUGGACAAUGGGCGCAAGCCUGAUCCAGCCAUGCCGCGUGAGUGAUGAAGGCCUUAGGGUCGUAAAGCUCUUUCGCCUGUGAAGAUAAUGACUGUAGCAGGUAAAGAAACCCCGGCUAACUCCGUGCCAGCAGCCGCGGUAAUACGGAGGGGGUUAGCGUUGUUCGGAAUUACUGGGCGUAAAGCGCGCGUAGGCGGACUGGAAAGUUGGGGGUGAAAUCCCAGGGCUCAACCCUGGAACUGCCUCCAAAACUAUCAGUCUAGAGUUCGAGAGAGGUGAGUGGAAUUCCGAGUGUAGAGGUGAAAUUCGUAGAUAUUCGGAGGAACACCAGUGGCGAAGGCGGCUCACUGGCUCGAUACUGACGCUGAGGUGCGAAAGUGUGGGGAGCAAACAGGAUUAGAUACCCUGGUAGUCCACACCGUAAACGAUGAAUGCCAGUCGUCGGGUAGCAUGCUAUUCGGUGACACACCUAACGGAUUAAGCAUUCCGCCUGGGGAGUACGGUCGCAAGAUUAAAACUCAAAGGAAUUGACGNGNGNCCGCACAAGCGGUGGAGCAUGUGGUUUAAUUCGAAGCNNNGCGCANNACCUUACCAACCCUUGACAU